UGUCGGAUAGCUCAAUUGGUAGAGCAACGCACUGUUAAUGCGGAGGUUGUGGGUUCGAGUCUCACUCUGACAGCCA
RNAcentral lists this transfer RNA (76 nucleotides) under Ruminococcus sp. AM54-1NS. RNAcentral's name for it is "tRNA-Asn". It matches the Rfam family "tRNA". Rfam says of the family: Transfer RNA (tRNA) molecules are approximately 80 nucleotides in length. Their secondary structure includes four short double-helical elements and three loops (D, anti-codon, and T loops). Further hydrogen bonds mediate the characteristic L-shaped molecular structure. tRNAs have two regions of fundamental functional importance: the anti-codon, which is responsible for specific mRNA codon recognition, and the 3' end, to which the tRNAs corresponding amino acid is attached (by aminoacyl-tRNA synthetases). tRNAs cope with the degeneracy of the genetic code in two manners: having more than one tRNA (with a specific anti-codon) for a particular amino acid; and 'wobble' base-pairing, i.e. permitting non-standard base-pairing at the 3rd anti-codon position. Lineage: Bacteria; Bacillati; Bacillota; Clostridia; Eubacteriales; Oscillospiraceae. The record is from RNAcentral.